AUGCUUAGUAGCGGCGAGUGAGCGGCAAAGCUCAAAUUUGAAAUCUGGCGCCUUCGGUGUCCGAGUUGUAAUUUGAAGAUUGUAACCUUGGGGUUGGCUCUUGUCUAUGUUUCUUGGAACAGGACGUCACAGAGGGUGAGAAUCCCGUGCGAUGAGAUGCCCAAUUCUAUGUAAGGUGCUUUCGAAGAGUCGAGUUGUUUGGGAAUGCAGCUCUAAGUGGGUGGUAAAUUCCAUCUAAAGCUAAAUAUUGGCGAGAGACCGAUAGCGAACAAGUACAGUGAUGGAAAGAUGAAAAGAACUUUGAAAAGAGAGUGAAAAAGUACGUGAAAUUGUUGAAAGGGAAGGGUUUGAGAUCAGACUCGAUAUUUUGUGAGCCUUGCCUUCGUGGCGGGGUGACCCGCAGCUUAUCGGGCCAGCAUCGGUUUGGGCGGUAGGAUAAUGGCGUAGGAAUGUGACUUUACUUCGGUGAAGUGUUAUAGCCUGCGUUGAUGCUGCCUGCCUAGACCGAGGACUGCGAUUUUAUCAAGGAUGCUGGCAUAAUGAUCCCAAACCGCCCGUCUUGA
This 563-nucleotide ribosomal RNA is filed under the name Meyerozyma guilliermondii. Its description in RNAcentral is "eukaryotic LSU rRNA". It matches the Rfam family "Eukaryotic large subunit ribosomal RNA", at positions 73 to 657 of the family's 3401-position model. The record is from RNAcentral. Lineage: Eukaryota; Fungi; Ascomycota; Pichiomycetes; Serinales; Debaryomycetaceae.